GAUGAAGAACGUAGCGAAAUGCGAUACGUAAUGUGAAUUGCAGAAUUCCGUGAAUCAUCGAAUCUUUGAACGCAAAUUGCGCUCCCUGGCAUCCCGGGGAGUAUGCCUGUUUGAGGGUCAGUGUUAAUAAAAAUCGGUUCGUUGCGAAUUUUUUGUGACGUUCCGGAGUUUGGGUUAUCUUAACUUUUUUGGUUAAGAGGCUUAAAAUUGACCUUUUUUUGUGCAUUUUAGACGUACAUAAAUUUUCUUUUAUUCGUCCAUUAAUGCCAAAAUAUAUUAGAUGCGACCAUAUCGUGUGGUUUCGUGUCUAUAAAAUUUUCAUGAUUUGACCUCAAAUCAGGUAGGAGUACCCGCUGAACUUAAGCAUAUCAAUAAGCGGAGGA
Molecule: unclassified non-coding RNA, 383 nt
Filed under: soil metagenome
Description: partial contains 5.8S ribosomal RNA, internal transcribed spacer 2, and large subunit ribosomal RNA
Rfam family: 5.8S ribosomal RNA (bases 1-120)
Source: RNAcentral